Long non-coding RNA from Fopius arisanus, 546 nucleotides. RefSeq lists it as uncharacterized. Lineage: Eukaryota; Metazoa; Arthropoda; Insecta; Hymenoptera; Braconidae. The record is from RefSeq and is a predicted model, not a curated record. The transcript has 2 exons.
UAGCAUGCUUGAACUGUCGGCAUAACAAAUGAUAAUACGUCACAUAUUUGAGUAAAUGUCGGGGAAAAUCAGUGAUUUUUUAUGGAAAAUAUGCUUCUAUCGAUGACAAUUCAAGUGGGUGCACGUGUCACUCUUGCACUCUUUGAAAUUUUUCUUGUUUUAUUCAUCUCUCUCGCACUAACUGCGUUCUGGAGCCCAACGCCAUCUGUUCUCCACCUCUUUUGGAUGGAAUUUUAACUUUUCCUGCUCACUUCAACAUAUCCACGGGCUACCAUAAAUGGAAGUUGUGAAUUUGCCCAUUCAAGCGCACCAAAUUUGGAAUUUUGUAUUUUUAGAUUAGAAAGAUAACCAAUUAACGUAAUUAGCUGCAAUUUUGUUGAAUUGCAGGAGACUAAAGGAAGUAUUUUGUAAAAUUGGAGAAAGCAGGAGGGAGGAUGAAAAAAAAAUCAAAAUGUGUAAAAAAAAUUAAUUCAAUUUUGUCGUUUUCCAUUUUACAAGAUACCUCCUCUAUUCUCCUGUUACCCUGAUAAAAAUUGGUUUUCUGAA